This 266-nucleotide unclassified non-coding RNA is filed under the name uncultured fungus. RNAcentral's name for it is "partial contains small subunit ribosomal RNA, internal transcribed spacer 1, and 5.8S ribosomal RNA". The stretch from base 1 to 73 matches the Rfam family "Eukaryotic small subunit ribosomal RNA", at positions 1759 to 1831 of the family's 1831-position model. Lineage: Eukaryota; Fungi. The record is from RNAcentral.
GCAAACUUGGUCAUUUAGAGGAAGUAAAAGUCGUAACAAGGUCUCCGUUGGUGAACCAGCGGAGGGAUCAUUACAGGACUCGCAAGACUCCCGUAAACCACUGUGAACUUACCUACAACCCGUUGCCUCGGCGGGGGGCGCCCGCCGCCCGCCGCCGACGGCCCCUAAACUCUUGUCUCACGCGUUGGCAUCUCCGAGCAGACUAUAAACGAGUCAAAACUUUCAACAACGGAUCUCUUGGUUCUGGCAUCGAUGAAGAACGCAGC